RNAcentral lists this transfer RNA (74 nucleotides) under Parcubacteria group bacterium 21-58-10. Its description in RNAcentral is "tRNA-Gly". It matches the Rfam family "tRNA". From Rfam's summary of the family: Transfer RNA (tRNA) molecules are approximately 80 nucleotides in length. Their secondary structure includes four short double-helical elements and three loops (D, anti-codon, and T loops). Further hydrogen bonds mediate the characteristic L-shaped molecular structure. tRNAs have two regions of fundamental functional importance: the anti-codon, which is responsible for specific mRNA codon recognition, and the 3' end, to which the tRNAs corresponding amino acid is attached (by aminoacyl-tRNA synthetases). tRNAs cope with the degeneracy of the genetic code in two manners: having more than one tRNA (with a specific anti-codon) for a particular amino acid; and 'wobble' base-pairing, i.e. permitting non-standard base-pairing at the 3rd anti-codon position. RNAcentral also lists the same sequence under 2 other names. The record is from RNAcentral.
GCGGGAUUAGUUUAAUGGUAGAACAUCAGUUUUCCAAACUGAUAGCACCGGUCCGAUUCCGGUAUCCCGCACCA